Oreochromis niloticus (Nile tilapia) is the source of this 9155-nucleotide long non-coding RNA. RefSeq lists it as uncharacterized. The transcript is spliced from 3 exons. The record is from RefSeq and is a predicted model, not a curated record. NCBI's taxonomy places the organism in Eukaryota, Metazoa, Chordata, Actinopteri, Cichliformes, Cichlidae.
CAGUUUUCCACACUCAGCGUUGUGAAAGUUAUUCAUACACCACGGGGUUAAUGCUAGCCAUAUUUGCAAUGGGAAUAUAGCAACAAAGCAAAUGUAAGCAUCAAGACAAGUGAUUUGGUACAGCUUUGGAAGACCCCGCAGCCCAGAUUAGAGUCGCUUACUGUCGUCUGACUCACCGGUGAAGAUGAUCGCUCAGCUGAACGUCCGCUGUGACCCAUAAACACAAGUACACACUGUUCAUCCGCAUUAAAAAAAAAGAGAGAUUUUUAUAGAGGCAUACUGAAUGCGCCAAAAAAUAUGAAAAACACACAAGCCGUCCAAGAACACACACAGAAAUACAUGUUUUGAGUCCCUGUACCCUGAGCUGGGACACCAAAGCAGACCAAAGUGUGGAGAAUAUUUUUCAAUGAACUACUAUUCGGUGACUACUAUAACUAAAAAUGACACAGCUCAACCAUGACUCCACAGAAGCACCCACAACCCUCGCAGGAUUUCUGCAGGCCACAGCGAAGUUAGCUUUUUCCUCUUUUUUUUUUUUGCAACAUGUAAUCUCCAACUGUACGAAAAACAGAAAUGGGAAUUCACACCACCUCGGCCACAGUUAUCUUUCAAAAAUGGACUGAUAUGUUGAAAUAUAGACAUAUGCAAACAUGUACAAAUGUUGGAUUACAUUUCCCAGAACCAUAAAGUACACAGUAUGGCCUUGGGGUGGAGAAGAGGCAUCGUUUUCCAAAUACCACAAUCUUCACUGUCAGCAGGAAAAGCUCGAGAACGUUACGCACCAGAGUGCUCUCAAUAAAUUGGCAUGAGUUGAGAAGCUGUGAGAGGGCAUCGGUUUCAUAUCUUUCCUCUGUUCUGUUCAUAUUUUAGACAGACUGAAAGAACUGCUACCAGCCUGAACUUAAGAGCGGACACAUCUCUGUUUCAAUUCUGUGUUAUCUCAGUCAUUACAGUAUUUGGUUUGCGUGCAGCAACGCUCAUUGCUGUGCCUGUGAGGCAAAGCAAGAGAGGAGUGUGCACGGCAGGCAUAGUGGGUUAGACCACAAAAUAAAGAUGAAACUCAUCGCUUAAAAGAGCACGUUAACAAUAUUCAUCUCGCAGUUCACCACCUCACAGAGGCCUUUUUUUUUUCCUUGCUUGACGCGAACAGGUCAUCAUUUUAUAAGAAGAGCAGGAAAAAAAGAGGAGGAGAAGAAGAAGAUAGAGCUCCAUCAUCAUCAACACAAGUUUACACAUACCCGUAUGUAAUCUUUGAUAGCUAUCAAUCAAAAGUUAAGGCCCUCAUUAAAACCUUUUGGCUCUUGUGCAAAGCUGUAAAUCCCCUUACGAAGACAACAUAGAAACUGAGGUCCGCAAACAAAACAUUAUCCCAUCCGAAGAUAAACGGUGUGUCGCAGGCGGUCACGUGUCUUACUGGCACAGUCAUUUCGCUAAGCUUGAGUGUAUGCGUUGCCUAGAGACGCGUAUGUGUGUGUGGAAUGUGUGACGUCUGAUCUCGCACAGGGGAGUGGCUCUCUGUACAGGACUUUGCUACUCUCACGCACACACACCCACAGGCUUCAGGGGAAGUUGUAAAGCUUCUAAUAGCCCCUCUCAGAAGCUCGUGUUACUGCCCCAAUGUUGCCUGGAGGGGUGGUUGGGUGGGGUGGGGGUCCUACGCUUGACAGGUGGAGAUGAAAAUCAAACAUUUCCAAAAACCCAAAAGUUGCAAAGACAAUGAUUUUAAAAUGAUUGUAAGCCAACAUGAGUGAUUUAAGUCGUUUUUCAAUGCCUUAUUGAUUAUCUGACGUGUCGUAAUUGCUGAUCCAAAGAUCUCUCUCAGUUUGAUCUUUAUGUACCAAAUGGAGCGUGUAGGGGAGGGAAAAAUAUCAGCCAUAUUUUGCCCGUGCUAAGAUUGCUGUGAUCCUCCAUAAAAUCUGUUUAAAGCCUCGGGGUUUAUAGUUUUAUGACCUCAACAGACACUUUUUCAGCGUUGACGUCUCUGAUCUGAAAUCCACAACAUGUACGGCUUUGAUCUGACAUUUAAACACUCAGUUUAAAGACUUUUUAACAAGUGUGUCUAACCUCAUUAAUGUCACUUUUAACUUUCUUAUAUUUCUUUAUAUUUCAUUUCUCUUUUUUUUGGUUAAUAUGGUUAAUUUCUGCUUAUAUGAGGAUGGCUAUAGACAUGCACUCUUUUUUCCUAAAUUGACAUAAAAGGGCAAAAGUUGCAAACUCGCCUCAGUGUACAUUUAGCUUCUUCCUGUCUGCUACUGACUCAAACAGCCCUUGCUCAUUUAUUAGCAGCUGUGCAGCCAAUUAUCUCCCUGCCCCCUUUCCUGUGUUCUACCAGCAGCUUCGGCCAUGCACAGGGGAGGAGAGGUAGGGAGGCAAAGGGGGGAGGAGAGGAGAGGAGAGAGAGAGAAGGGGAGUGUUCCUCUCCUCUGACAUCGUCAUAAAGGAAUCCCCUCUGCUAGGCUGGGCCCGCCUACUUGCUUACUCUCACCCCGUCUGGCUCCCAGACACACUCGCGUUCACACACACACUCCUGUCUGCACGGCCGAAGGAGGAACGGACUGACAAGGAAAAAAGGACAAAGAGUGGGAGACGCGGAGAAGCUGCGAGAGAUGGGAGAUGGGAUGGGGACUGUGAAGGUCAACUUUUAGAGUGUGACAUUGAAGACCGUGAAGAACAAGAGGGAGAGGAAAAGGAGUAAAAUCUGUUGUCUCAGAGGGGCAAUUCAGCAGUUCCUGCAACCUGUUGAUCAGGACGGGACGUUCACACAGAGUCGGAGUAAAAGUCUGCCUGCUGUUCAAAUGUACUGUGUUGUUGGCACUGGAAUAUUGCCCCGUUAUGAGGUCUGCCACUGUGGACCGGCUCCAUUACAAAGGUCAGAUGAAUACAGUGCCAUUGAAUGGGAUGGUUUCAUUCCUUGCUGCCUAUCUUGCUUGUUAAUUUAAAGGUUAUGUACCACCCCCCGUCUGAGUGAUUUCAGGCAUAAUUGUUUCGCCUCCACCUGUUUCCAUACAGCUUUCUGCUUAUACAGUAUGUUUGUCAUCUGUCUGCCCAUGUGUGUCAUCUGCCUGUCGUCAUGUCUGUCGGUCUGUGUGCCUCUCCUUGGGGUGUUGCUGGCAGCGCGGAGCACUAAGUGAGGUCAUAAAAAGUUAUAGAAAAGCAGCCUGAGAGGCGUAAUGGCAGUGUUGAAGUAAGGCCGGAGCCGCUCAAACAUUCCUCUCAUUGUUCAGGGGCCCUGUAAGUCUGCGAGCUCCCAAACCUCCAUGAAAGGAAGGGAAUCCAGUGGCUACUGUAGCUAACCCACUUUGAGCUGCAUUUCAGGGCUGGCUGUCUCUGUCUUCCUGUUUGCCGUCCUGACUGGUGUGUGUGUGUGUGUGUGAGUGUGUCGGGGGGGUCGGGGGUGUUGGUAUAGACCAAACUCAGUAGCGGAAGGCAAAAAUGGAUUUGAAGGAGGUAAACGUGAGGUUGACCUAUAGAAGAAGGAUAAGAUAAGGAGGUAUUAAUUUAGCCUCGACAGUGGCGUCUAUCUCUUUGCUCCGUAUGCGUCUGGUUGUGACUUCAGAUAACCUCCAUGCCAAAUGACAUGGGAAAGAGAAGGCACGGGUCAAAUGUGUUGUUAUUUUGCCUUCUGCUUUGAGAAGGUGGUAAAAUGGGGUGAUGGAUGGAUGGUGAGAAAGGAUGAGAGGAGGAGCAGGAGAAUGUGGGGAUCUAACCCUCAAGCCUGGGCUUUGGUGGGGUGGUUUGAGUGGGUGGGUGUGCCCGGCAGCAAUCUGUAGGAAUGGGCCCAGGCUCAGGAAACCGUGGCGUAGUGGAAUAAAAGUGUGUGUGUGUGUGUGUGUGUGUGCAGCUUCAGCAUCCACUUGUGCAUGUGUGGUUCAGUGGCAGCAGGGCAGCUGUACUCUAAGUACAGGGCUGGUGGUGGUGGUAAGGGUGUUUGGCAAUGAAUCAGGCUGAGGAUAGGAUUACACGCACUGGGCUACAGGGAGUAGACCACGGGCUUGGGCUGGGCUCUUCACUGCUGAGGCUAGCUUUACAGCCCAAAGAGACUUUGAGCUUUUCUCUUUAAAAAAAAAAAAGGAGCUGGAAAUACUUCUUUUUUAAUUCUCAGACUAAUGUCCCACAUGUGGCGCGUUCCAUUGAUUCCAGGCCAGCCAAUGAACGGUCGCCUUUAAUUUGGGAAAACUGCAACAUAGAAGGCCCAUAGUAGAGGCCCGGGCUCUUGUUUGAAUGUCACUAAAUGUCACAGCCUCAGCAAUGAUUACACCCUCGCACGUAACAUGAAACAAAUACAAUCACAUGCGCACACAUACCCAGACAGACCCUGUCUGGUAGCAAGCAAGUUAAGGUGUGGUGCUGCGUUGUGUUUUAGUUGGCGGGCUUUGCAAUUUCAACUGCAGUUUUGUUGAUCCUGUGGGUGAUUUUCUGGCGGAUAAAAAAAAUGCAGACUUGAUUCUGGAGAUGUUUUUUUUUCUUUUGAUGUGUCAGCUGCUCGCUCCUCGUCAUUUAACCAUUUUUAGGCUUUUCCGCCUUUUCUUCCCAGGAGUGAGUUUAAUAGGCGCAACAGACAAGAUAGCAAUUAUGGAAAGCAGACGUGGCAAAUCUACACCGUAAGAAGGGAAUUAACAUGUAACUGUAACCCUUGUGACUUCAUGUCUUGAACUUAUAGCAUUUACAGAGAAAGAUGAAGCUGUGGCUGGAAACAGCUUCAUCUGCCCCCUGUGAAAAUCAGUGGAAACAUAAAUGACUUGUGCUCGGCUUUGAGACACAAUUCUUAAUGACAUGCACGAGCCUGGGAAUCGUACUGCUCACUGUUUGCUCUGUUAAGCGGUCCACAGCCUGGAGGUGUGAAUGAUGUCAGCUUGGUAUUUUUACUAUUCGCAGUUUAUGAGAAAGAGUGAAAACCAGCUUACGCGAACCCCACGUUUGCCACUGACAUCACUGUAUUUGCUCAGUGAUAGUGAACAUAUUGUGUGUGUGUGUGUGGACAGAUAGGUAGAUUAGGCUUGGCCUGCGGAGCGUGUGUGCAUUUCUUCUGUGCAAUGCGCACACAAGGACACGGGCAGAGAGAAGAUAUGUGUUGAAACAACAAGGGUUUGAGAUCCAGCUGUCCCAACAGAGGCUUUUCCACUUAACUGUGUGCCCUUGUGUAAACGGCAAUGUCAAUUCUGAACUCGAGCCAACGAUCUGAGAAAACAGCCAGUGGCCACGUCUGCACUUGGACCGCCAUACGUCAUGUGCAUGAACAAUAUACACACAUAUGCACCACGAAACCAUCAAAGAACCCACACACGAGGCCAUAAUCCACGAAGACAUGCUCUCUAAAAACACUUUAACUUCACUAGAGUACAUCUGCUGGCAGGCGUCACUCGGUGAUGUUCAUUUUCCAGCCCUACACCUCCGUCGGGGUGCAACAAGUUGCCACGGUUGCAAGCUACCAGUAAGCUGCAGCCUAUAUGCCACAUACUUGUUAUUUCUAACCAUAAUAAACAUCCAGUUUGAGAAGCCAGUAGCAGGAGAGCCGCCUGUAUCCUCAAAAAAAACAAAAAAACAAGGCGAAUGCGAGGCGGGUCGAGAUCCUCGCAGAGAGUGUUUGAGGUGAGGUGUUGGACAGCGUGCGUCAACCAGAAUGCCGUCAUUACAGGGGAAGGGAAGGAAUGAGCUCAUGGACAUUAACGGGCUGCGGGUUCGAGUGGGGGGGGAGCGAGAAACCGAUGGAAAAGAUGAAAAGGCAGAGAAAAUAACACACCAGAUGAAAAGAGAUGGCGGUAUGAGGGUUUAAGGUUAAAGGAGGAUAGGAGGUAAAGGGGGCAGUUGGCGUGUCUUUGAUGGAUGCCGGGACCUUAAAUUACCUUCUUUCUUGACAACAUCUUGUUGUGACCGUGUGGAGACCGGCCUAGGCUUUAAAAAGCACAACUCGUAAAACAGAAAGGAAAUUAAGGAGACAUGCAACUAGGAUCUAAAACGGGCCGCCCUGGGUACAUUUUUAUGUCGACAUUUUGGUUUUCUGUUAACUGAGCGAUUUUAAAAAACGGCCCUAAGACAAUGUAAAUGUACACUUUAGUCUAUUGUAGAGUCAAAAAAGUUGAUUUUGAAAUUUAGCGAGAACAGACAAUGCUAUUCUGUUUUCUUCCCAGUAGCACCCAAACACUGGACCACACUUUGGCCUGGUGAAAACUGGAAAGCGUCCACAUGAGACGCUGCUUUUAGCUCAAAACGAUGCUCACAACUGGGCUGGAAAAAGUUUGUGUUCUAUUUAUGGAAGCUCUGUCUAAACUCCCUCAUCUUCACCACACUAGAUUUGUGACAACAGAGAUGCCCGCUUUAGUGAUCACAUUCCCCAGCUACUGCACCAAAGCGAUAACAGACAGCCAGCCAAAGCUUAUUUAGAGUCUGGAGUUCCCCAAAAGCGUCCCACUGACUCAUACCUUGUACACGGCGAAAUAUUCAAGCUGCUGAAAAGAAGAGCGACUCAAAGGAGGGCGGCAAAACGAGCGGUUCAGCCGGGAUCUGGAGACUGGAAUGGUGUUCAAUAAAUAAAGUUUAUCCUGUCCAGACAAGUGAAAUUCAACCAAAAGGAAUUCACAGCAUUAUGUUGUGCUCCGGGGUGGGAUGGCUGUGUGUGCGUGUCUUUAUUUAUUUUUUUUUUCUUUUAAGGAAUACGCAGGAUCAGACUUUAUGUUUUAACAAUAAAAGCAAAGGUUCUCUACGCAACAUGAAAAUUCCCUAACAAUUUCUUAAGAGAUUUCGCCGUAACUUAGCAGCAGAGGAAACACGCUCCAGUGCUCUUUUUCUCAUUUUGUUUUUCCCCUGUUCACAAGGGGCACAGAUAAAGGGUGCAGGGUAAAUGUCUGUUAAAGGGAGUGCCAUUUGAGUGGCCACUUCCUUCUAACCUAAUUCUCCAUUCUGUCAUUGAAAAGCUAUUUUUAUAAGAGGCCACGGGAAGUCUGGGAGUUGACAAGGACCACGUACAGUGCACACAGGGUUGAGAAAAUGCAGUGACUGACCUGCGAAUGACAAACGUGACAGAGCCAGACUGCUCUCUUUGUGUAUUGGGGGGGUUAAAGAAGAAAGGAGCUGAUGCUUAUAAAGGUGACAGUGAUGCUCGAGUCUUAUUGUGGUAUUUAUUACUGUGCGUGCUUUGAAGUCUUCUUUCCGCCACAGACCGUCCAGCUCUAUCUGUUGGCCAGGGGAAUUCCUGGCAGAGUGAUUUUUUUUAAACUAGAGGACUGAAUCACAUUGCCAGGGAUUUCCAAUGGCUGACACGAAGAAAGCAGCCUCUUCGUUGCACGCGCACCAAUUUGCCAACUCAUACACAGUCACUCAUUUGCAUACACACAUGGAAACGUCUCCUUUCUGUGUCACAAACAGAUGCCUGUCGAAGCCUGGCUGUGCGGCAGCAGGACUUAACCCACAUGUGAACAGUGAGUGUCUGCCAUGUUCACAGUGGUUAAGUUCUGCCGCCACAGGGCUGCAGCCUGCAGGGGACAAGGGAGGGGAGUAAAGGUCAGGGAGGGGCCGCACUGCAUCAAAAACACCGCUCUUCACAUCAACACCAGGCUUCACAUGAGUAUGAUCUCGUCCUAUGACUAUAUCCUCCCAACAAACAUCAGCUUUCUUAUAUAAAAUGUGUUUCUGGCCGCCUGUUCGAUGAUUUACUUAAGAACCUGUGACCUUCUUUGGGACUUGAACCCAACAACAACAACAAAGCAAAAAAGCUCUUUAUCUGUCACACCAUCAACCAUUUUUUUCUGUUAUCUCGUCGCCGCCCUGCUUUCUCAAGUGGUUUACGGAAACUUGAGCAGAAAACUCAGUGCGUCUAUUUUAACUUAACAGAAGCAAUCAAUCCGAUACCAAAAUACAGGGUCAAAAUUAUCAAUGCUGCUACUUUUAACGUAUAAAUGCAGCUUAUGUAGGGGAGUGUGUCAUGACUUAUGAGAUGAAUUACCGCAAUAAUUAAUCAGUACAACAAAUCAGCGUUUCAUGAGGCUGUCUCUAAAGCACUUUGGAUCAGCUUCUGUCCUUUAAAUGUGCUACGUACUGAACAUAAGGAUAGAAGAGUAUCGGUCCAAUUGCGCUAGUAUCCAUCUGAUACCAAUACCAGUAUUGGUAUCGAUACUAUCAAUAUUUGAAUCGAUCCACUGACCGCUACUAGAAAGCAUCACGUUGCCGGUAACGAGGCAAAUCCGUGCUACUCCUCAACAGCCAGAUUGAUCCUUUGACUUUAUUUUUACGAGCUUUCCUGAUCGUUGCUAAAUUGACAACAUGUGUCGGAGGCUGUGUGUGUGUGCACGCGCGUGUGGGAGUACUCAAUGGAUGACUCAGUACAGUGUUACGAGUCGGCACUGUGAUGUGGCUGAGUGGGAUGCAUGGGAACAGGUAUCGCACUCCAUUAUGAGCGAGUGCCUGGCAAAAACAGCUAAUCUGGUGAAUUAGCCGAAAUUGUUCGGUCUCAGUGUGUCAGAGCCUGCUAAAUGUCAGGCGUCUCAUUAGUGUCGAAGGCUGCUCCCGUUCCUGUUGGGCGGGCAAUAUGUCAUCUUGUGUUGUCGGGUGUAUUGCCGGCUGCCAGGCUCUCUCUGGGGUGUGUGUGUUUGUGUUUGUAACCACGUUUAUUUUCACUUCUACCUGUUGAUUUCUGCAUGAGCAUCAGUGUCUGUUUGGCUCGUUGCUGUGUGUCUGCGUGUACCUGUGUGUAUGUCUGUGUUUAUGUGUGUGUGACCACCUCUGUCCGCCCCCUUCCUCCUCCUCACCCCCCCGCUGGGUCGGUCUCCUGUGCCUGCUGUGCUGAUAAUCAGUGUGUGACGUCGGCUGGCUCAGUUCAGCAGGAACAGGGGACUGUUCUCAUUUCCACACUCUCUCUCGCUCACACACACACAAACACACACACUUUAAUGUCAGUUUAAUAACAACAUUAACACCAGACGUCUACAUGCGUGUUUUCUUUAGUUGUGUAGCUCUUUUUCAUGACAUACACAGACCUUUAAAAUCAUAUAACCAUAAAAGCUUAUAAUGUAUUAUAAAUGAUAGAAUUUUUUUUAAACUGUAUUUUUAGGUUUCUUUCUUUGUUUUUUGUACCGUGAUCUAUGAAAAUGGAAAAAUAUAUCAAUUAAUGAAGUCUGUUUAAGUAUAUUUUAAUCUUUUUUUGAAAAAUAAAACUUGUUUUG